Molecule: long non-coding RNA, 431 nt
Organism: Culex pipiens pallens (northern house mosquito)
Lineage: Eukaryota; Metazoa; Arthropoda; Insecta; Diptera; Culicidae
Exons: 2
Source: RefSeq, a predicted model, not a curated record
UUGUAAUUUUUUGCCUUCCUCACGUUACUGAGGAAAGGCUAUAAAAUCACUCGAAAAAUGAACUUCUCAAUUAGACCUCCUAGACCCACCUUCAUGUAUACCUAUCGACUCAGAAUCAAAUUCUGAGCAAAUGUCUGUGUGUGUGGUGGGAUGUUGAUCAAAAAAUUGUCACUCGAUUAUCUCGACAUUGGCUGAACCGAUUUUGUCCGUUUUGGCGUCAUUCGAUCCGUCUUGAGGUCCCAUAAGUCGCUAUUAAAAAUUAUGCAGUUUAGUUAAGUACUUCAAAAGUUAUGCUAAAAAAACGAUUUUAGCAAAAGUCCGGAAGAUUGUAAAAAGGGUGGUUUUUGUAAGAAAACCCGUCAUGCUAUACAUUUUCAGAAAGGUAUUCAAAAGACCUUUCCAACGCGUCCAAAACAUUGAAGAUCUGACAA